RNAcentral lists this ribosomal RNA (468 nucleotides) under uncultured bacterium. RNAcentral's name for it is "partial 16S ribosomal RNA". It matches the Rfam family "Bacterial small subunit ribosomal RNA", at positions 28 to 507 of the family's 1533-position model. The record is from RNAcentral.
GACGAACGCUGGCGGCGUGCUUAACACAUGCAAGUCGAACGGAAAGGCCCUGCUUUUGUGGGGUGCUCGAGUGGCGAACGGGUGAGUAACACGUGAGUAACCUGCCCUUGACUUUGGGAUAACUUCAGGAAACUGGGGCUAAUACCGGAUAGGAGCUCCUGCUGCAUGGUGGGGGUUGGAAAGUUUCGGCGUUUGGGGAUGGACUCGCGGCUUAUCCGCUUGUUGGUGGGGUAGUGGCUUACCAAGGCUUUGACGGGUAGCCGGCCUGAGAGGGUUACCGGCCACAUUGGGACUGAGAGACGGCCCAGACUCCUACGGGAGGCAGCAGGGGAGAACAUUGCGCAAUGGGCGGAAGCCUGAUGCAGCAACGCCGCGUGCGGGAUGACGGCCUUCGGGUUGUAAACCGCUUUCGCAUGUGACGAAGCGUGAGUGACGGUAAUGGGUAAAGAAGCACCGGCUAACUACGUG